This 253-nucleotide ribosomal RNA is filed under the name uncultured bacterium. Its description in RNAcentral is "partial 16S ribosomal RNA". It matches the Rfam family "Bacterial small subunit ribosomal RNA", at positions 524 to 776 of the family's 1533-position model. The record is from RNAcentral. RNAcentral also lists the same sequence under 1 other name.
UACGGAGGGGGCUAGCGUUGUUCGGAAUUACUGGGCGUAAAGCGCACGUAGGCGGCUUUGCAAGUCAGAGGUGAAAGCCCGGGGCUCAACCCCGGAAUUGCCUUUGAGACUGCAGAGCUAGCAGGUGAGAGAGGUAAGUGGAAUUCCGAGUGUAGAGGUGAAAUUCGUAGAUAUUCGGAAGAACACCAGUGGCGAAGGCGGCUUACUGGCUCAUACUGGACGCUGAGGUGCGAAAGCGUGGGGAGCAAACAGG